RNAcentral lists this ribosomal RNA (1567 nucleotides) under Maritrema poulini. RNAcentral describes it as "eukaryotic LSU rRNA". It matches the Rfam family "Eukaryotic large subunit ribosomal RNA", at positions 81 to 1239 of the family's 3401-position model. The record is from RNAcentral. Lineage: Eukaryota; Metazoa; Platyhelminthes; Trematoda; Plagiorchiida; Microphallidae.
CAGUAACUGCGAGUGAACAGGGAUUAGCCCAGCACCGAAUCCUGUGGUCAUUUGGCUACUAGGAAAUGUGGUGUUCAGGUUGUUCCGCAAAGGUACUGCUCCACCCUAAGUCCAUCCAUGAGUGCGGUAGUUUGGACCAGGCCCAUAGAGGGUGAAAGGCCCGUGGGGGUGGAGACCAGGUAGGCCAGUACCUUUCUGGAUAGACCUUGGAGUCGGGUUGUUUGUGAAUGCAGCCCAAAGUGGGUGGUAAACUCCAUCCAAGGCUAAAUACUAGCACGAGUCCGAUAGCGAACAAGUACCGUGAGGGAAAGUUGAAAAGUACUUUGAAGAGAGAGUAAACAGUGCGUGAAACCGGUCAGAGGUAAGCGGGUGGAGUUGAACUGCAAGCUUUGGGAAUUCAGCUGGUGAGCGUGGCUUGAGCUUGGUUAAAUUGGUUGGACCCUGGAGUCUGCGUAGCAGCAGGCCUUCGCCUUUCGGGGUGGGGGUGCGCGAUGCACUUGUCACGUGCUGUGCGCUUCGGGUGUUUCAUCGGACCAGUUCGCCAGUGCAUUUUCUCAGAGUGGUCACCACGACGGGCAUUGCUGUCUGGCUGUUGCGGUUAAACCGGUUUGACAUUGUCCUUGUGGCUUUGCCAGAUCGGGAUGGCAGGUAGCUCGUUUGCUUGCUUGUGGCUUGCUGCAGGCGUUUGGCUUUCGAGUGUAAUCAGCUGACUGCAUCGGUUCUGUACAGUGUGUCUGAGACGGCGGCUAUGGUGUGUGCGUGCGUACCUGGUCGGUUGUCGCAUUCGGGUUUGGUUGUUUUGUAGCCUGUGAAUGCAGGCCUAAUGAUGGCCCGGGUGUGUUCGAUUGGCGGUGGCGUGCGUGACACGAUUUCAUGGGCCAAUAGUCUGUGGUGUAGUGGUAGACUAUCCACCUGACCCGUCUUGAAACACGGACCAAGGAGAGUAACAUGUGCGCGAGUCAUUGGGCGUUACGAAACCCAAAGGCGUAGUGAAAGUGAAGGCUGGGCUUGUCCUAGCUGAGGUGAGAUCUUGUCGUUUCUCAUGCGUGGUACCACCAAGCUUCGAGCGGCAGGCGCAUCACCGGCCCGUCCCAUGACAUUAUCCAGUCGGGGCGGAGCAUGAGCGUACAUGUUGAGACCCGAAAGAUGGUGAACUAUGCUUGCGCAGGUUGAAGCCAGAGGAAACUCUGGUGGAGGACCGAAGCGGUUCUGACGUGCAAAUCGAUCGCCAGACGUGAGUAUAGGGGCGAAAGACUAAUCGAACCAUCUAGUAGCUGGUUCCCUCCGAAGUUUCCCUCAGGAUAGCUGGCAUUCUGAGAGACAAACAGUUUUAUCCGGUAAAGCGAAUGAUUAGAGGCCUUGGGGGCGAAACGCUCUCAACCUAUUCUCAAACUUUAAAUGGGUGAGAAGCCUGACUCGCCUAAACGGAGUUGGGCGUUGAAUGUGAGUGCCAAGUGGGCCAUUUUUGGUAAGCAGAACUGGCGCUGUGGGAUGAACCAAACGUUCAGUUAAGGUGCCUAACAUGACGCUCAUCAGAUACCACAAAAGGUGUUGGUUGGUCUAGACA